RNAcentral lists this unclassified non-coding RNA (189 nucleotides) under uncultured fungus. RNAcentral describes it as "sequence contains ITS1, 5.8S rRNA gene". The record is from RNAcentral. Lineage: Eukaryota; Fungi.
GUUACAAUUUAAUAUUGUAUGACGUUCUGAUGUUACAAGUAGUGUAUAAGAAAAUGGGCAACUUUCGCCGCCCAUUUUAAAUAAGGUGCACAGGUGUGAAUGAGUUAGCCAGUGUGCACAUGCCCGAAGGCCAGCAACAACAUAGCUUGAAUCUCAAUAAUGAUCCUUCCGCAGGUUCACCUACGGAAA